This 689-nucleotide long non-coding RNA is filed under the name Gallus gallus (chicken). RNAcentral's name for it is "long non-coding RNA NONGGAT011916". Lineage: Eukaryota; Metazoa; Chordata; Aves; Galliformes; Phasianidae. The record is from RNAcentral.
GUUCCAUUUGCUUUUGGAAAUUGUAUCUAGAUGAAGGGAGAGAGUGAUACUUCAUCCUGCUGCAGAACUUAUACAGCUGGUAAGAUGCUGUAGAACGGGUCUGUAGAAUGUGAGGUGUGAGUUACUUCUGCAAAGUACUUCCAGUAUACUUUAACUAAGUGGAACUAUCAGGGAGAGAAAGGAUUCGCAGAUAAAUUAUUUUAGACCAAGUAGCACACUCCUGUAACUCUUCUGAAAUACAGCUGCACAUGUUAUUCCCAUGGCACAUUUGGCAUUCUUCUUCCCACUACCUUCACGGCCUCAGUCAGGACUGUUUUGCUCUGCGCCAACGUAACACCGAUUGCGCAGUCAGCUCUCAAACAGGGCUUCAGAACCAGGCAGCAGGAGCACAGGAAAGCACGGAGAGUGUUACAGGACAUGUAAGUGUGCUCCCUGCAUUGGUGUUUGUCUGGCAGUGUGCCUGGACUGCUGAGCGUGAGCCACUGCUCCAUAUCAGAGCAGGAGAGUUUCCCUGACAGUGGUGGGCCUGGAGGCAGAAGGAGUCCCAUGUGAUGCGGUCGUUGCCACGAACCUACGUUGCUUGUCUACAGAAGAGAGAGGAGCUGAAGACAUUUGCAGAGCUGAUACAUGAUGGAGAGACUGCUGCAGCAUCAACACCAAAUGUGUGGGCAACAAAAUACCAAGUCCUG